Chelonia mydas (Green sea turtle) is the source of this 1404-nucleotide long non-coding RNA. RefSeq lists it as uncharacterized. The record is from RefSeq and is a predicted model, not a curated record. Lineage: Eukaryota; Metazoa; Chordata; Testudines; Cheloniidae. The transcript has 4 exons.
CGCCGCCGGCGGGGCGGUGCCGAUCAGCCCUUCCCGGGCCGGCCCCUGCGCUGCGCCCCGGUUCCGCUGCGGAGCGGGGGGCUGCUUUGCGGGGCUGCGACUGCGCACCCCCCCGGCCCCGCCCGCUCAUUACAACCCCAGCCUGCAAAGGGCUCCCGGGGACACCAGCGGCGGCCGCGGCUGCUCCCUGAGUUCCCGCGGAGCAAGCGGCUGCAAGGAGGAGGCUUGUCCUGCAAGCCUGAGAGACGAUGCUCCGGGAUCGAGAGUUGUCAAGAGUCUCACCGAUUUCUUCUGAGGCGGAGUAACGCCGCAGACCUUCCUGUAACACGGCCUGGGGCCCUGGCAGCACAGCUCCGUCGCGUCUCUCACCGCUAAAUCGCCCGCGCAAAAGGGGAGCGCCAAACAACGGCUCGACUAUUGCAUUCCUUUUAGCCCUUCGCUACUCUGUAUAACACGCACAACAACCGGAAUAGCUCCCCUCUGCAUCUAAAAGAUGGGGGGGGCCCCCCCCCGCAGGUCUCAGAAGAGAUGGGCCUGCUCAAGCCACAGAAUUCGGAUCUUGAUCCAGAGAUUCCACAAUCCAGAGGAGAAGGUGAUGCCUACUGGAAUAAUAGCCAUGUGAGCUGUUGUGAAGUCUGACCGAAUAUUAACGUCCUUGCAAAGACUGAGUUUCUUCUGCCUGCUGAAGCAGAAAAAUAUUCUGAAGAAAAACACACCAUAACCUUAAUAUGAAAGAUAAAAUUAGCAAUUCCAAGGGAACAUUAGAAGGAAGCUGCUGCCAUUGCUGCCUUGAGGUAUUCCCCCUCCACACCCUUGGAAUACAUGAACCAGAUAAGGAGGAGAAAGAAGAUGACUCAGGAAGACACGGUCUGCGAAAUUUUGCCAGUGCUGCAUCAGACUGUGAGCAAAGGGUGUGGAGGGUGAACAUUGUAGACCGCCUGUAGAAGGAAAGAGCUUUCAGGAGAAAGGCCCAGGAGUCCCACCAGGAAAAGGAGAGUGAAAUGCACCGGGACAUAAUGGGACUUCACUGUCAGCAAACACAGAUGCUACAGACUCUUGUGGACCAACAGUUGAGCAAUCACAGGCUUGCCUCCCUUGGCAGUCCAUGGAGAACUCCAUUGCAGCACCUCCCUCCACCACACCCCAACAUUCCACAUGGUAUCAGGGGCACAUCCCUUCCGCUAUCACUCCACCCUGGUGGACAUUAAGGAUAGCCACAGCUUCACAUACACUGAUCCUUGAAAGCCACAGUUGCUGUAUGUGUAGGCAAAAUGGACAUGAAUGUUCUUUCCCUUUAGUAAGUUCUUUUCCAUUAACUUAUUAAGUUCUUAAUGUAUUUGAUUUUCAGUUGCACAGAUUUUUCUUUGCACAGAUUUUGUUACUGAAUAAAAUUACAUUAUUUGG